CCGGCACGGGUGAGUAACACGUAUCCAACCUGCCGUCUACUCUUGGACAGCCUUCUGAAAGGAAGAUUAAUACAAGAUGGCAUCAUGAGUUCACAUGUUCACAUGAUUAAAGGUAUUCCGGUAGACGAUGGGGAUGCGUUCCAUUAGAUAGUAGGCGGGGUAACGGCCCACCUAGUCUUCGAUGGAUAGGGGUUCUGAGAGGAAGGCCCCCCACAUUGGAACUGAGACACGGUCCAA
This 237-nucleotide ribosomal RNA is filed under the name uncultured bacterium. RNAcentral's name for it is "partial 16S ribosomal RNA". It matches the Rfam family "Bacterial small subunit ribosomal RNA", at positions 100 to 334 of the family's 1533-position model. The record is from RNAcentral.